Molecule: long non-coding RNA, 856 nt
Organism: Rosa rugosa (rugosa rose)
Lineage: Eukaryota; Viridiplantae; Streptophyta; Magnoliopsida; Rosales; Rosaceae
Exons: 3
Source: RefSeq, a predicted model, not a curated record
UAAUCUCAGCCUGGUGGAUUUGGGAGUGUUCACUGGUGCCAAAUUCUUUCUCAAUUUCAUAUAUGUUCUCCUAAUGAUAUUAUUACUCUCUUAAAUCUAGAACAUGCCUUUCAUGUCAACAAAAGACCUGAAGCAUGAACUAAUCAUAACUUUGGCAUAUAUUAGAUCUCUGUUAUACAUAACUUAAUUUACUGUAAUGGUGAUGAUGUUGGUAAUUCAUGGAGCAGUAAAUUAUGUUUUGAGGGAAUAAAGCAAGCCUUGGUACUUAGAAUUAAUUACUAAACUGUACGGAGACAUUGAUGAAUAAGCAUGACUUAGUUUUGUAUAGUUUUAGACCAUCAGUUUACCCUUCACUUCGAUCUUCUCUCCCUUCCCUGUUCUUUUCUUUGGUUUUGUUGCCAGAUUUCAUGAUUAGAUUGCAAACUUUAGAUUAUUGUUUAUGUAGAAUUUAUAAUGCUGAUACUGUGUCUAGCUCUUCUACACAAUUAUAUCAACUUGCCUCUUUCUAUUGCUUCAGGUCAUAAAAGAUGUCUCACUUUUAUCUAGGUGGAUAACUAUUGAUCUAUAUAUUCGAGAAGUUGAUAGCAUGAAAUUUGAACUAUCCAUGAAUAGGUGCAGCGAUAGCUUGUCAAAACUGGAGCAAGGUGCUUGCCCAUUUUGUGGUGUUUAGUCUAUGAUAGGUCACUGCUCAGGUGCUUUUGGGGGUUUGGAAGCUAAUGGUAGAGUGAAAUCCAUACAACCAGGAUGGCUCCAUCAUUCCCUAAACCAAUCUGUUGUCCAUAUCAAAGAAGAGUUCCAGCUGUGGGAGGAAGAGUCUUAGAUGUUUACAUUUUGAUGGGUACAUCUGUAAUUUUUU